This is a long non-coding RNA of Prionailurus viverrinus (fishing cat), 371 nucleotides long. RefSeq lists it as uncharacterized. The record is from RefSeq and is a predicted model, not a curated record. The transcript has 3 exons. NCBI's taxonomy places the organism in Eukaryota, Metazoa, Chordata, Mammalia, Carnivora, Felidae.
GCUGGAAGUGGACGCGAGCUGCAAAUGUGGGCGUGGCUGCCUAUAGACAGGCCUCCAAGGGCACCAAGAGCUUGCAGCCGCUUCCUGUGCCUACCUGAAGUUACUGCCCAGCCUGGGGACACCAGGGUGGGCCUGGGAUAGGAGCCCCAGGGGGUCCGCUCUACUUGCCUCUUAAUGGCUCACCAGUCGUUGGAUUUCUGCCAUCGGGACCUGUCCCUGAGCCCCACAUUGGGUAUAAAAUACAACAGAUAACAAGUUGUGACUGUGAGAACAUUUUCAAUUACCUAUGUGGCUCUCAUUCUGUUUCUGCCGCAUGGUGCUGGGCUGGAGACUUCCAAGGCCUUCUGAUGUGAGAGCUGUAUGAGCUACGU